AAAACAAAAACUUUUAGUACUUCUCAUUCUUCUGUAAAGCAGUUCUUAAGGAACCAUUAACCAUAUAUUCUGUCACUGUUGCCACAGAGCCACCAGGACCAUCGAGAACAACACCAUAGAAUGCCACAACAUUGGGAUGAUGCAAGUCAGCAAGCUUAAUUGCCUCAUUCCAGAAAUCAUCAAUCUAGUCAAAUGAAUUCACCACAGUACAAGCUAUUAGCAAGUGAAAUUACAAAGUGGAACUAAUAUGGAUAAAUAGGAAAUUGCAAAGAGAAAAUAAAGAGCCAAACCAUGCGCUCUUGUUCAGAAGGUUUCCCUGCAAAACAUCUAUCAUUGAUCCGUUUGAUUGCUACAUCAGUACCUCGCCACUUCCCAUGAUAAACAGUACCGAAGGUGCCAGAACCUAGUUCUCGCAGCUCUUCAAGGUCAAUGUUUUUUAUAAUCUGAAAAUGUAUAUAAUUAAAUUCAUGAGCGAAAGGAGUUAACAAAAAAACAAACAUCACAUGAAAGCAAUGAUUCAACCUGCAAGCAACCGAUGCCAUCUGAAACUCGAAAGCCAAAAUUUGUUCUGUCUGGUUGUUUGGUCUUGAUUUCCUGAGUUAAGAAAAAAAAAACAAGAUGUUCAAUGAAUAUAUCUGCAGAAGGCAGCCGCAAUUUUUUUUAGAGAAGGAAAUGGGGAAAGGAGGGGGGGGGGGGUGGGGAUGGUGAGGACAAUGGGCAUACAGAUAGAGAAUGAAGAGAUGCACACCUCAAAUUUAGCUUUAUGUUGCAUUUCAAUGUUUCUAGUUGAACCAUCUAUCUCUUGAUUGCCCUCAAAACCAGAUGCAUCAGUUGCUGCUGGUAUGUCAGGAGUGGAAGGGGUAGAUGACUGGAAAACAGAAGCAGCUACUCCCUCAGCAACAGCUUGUAGUUCUUUCUUGAUGAGUUCCUCAGCUGAGCCAUUUGCAGUGAAGGCAACAAGAAGAAACAUUUAGUCCAUGCAUAAAGCGAUAAAUGCCAAUGUUUGUUGCAAACAGAAAUCAAAUACCUCACCUUUUGCGGACUGUUUUUGGUCUGAAAUGAAAUCCUUGUUUAAAUGGUUUAAUGGCUGGUAAACAUCAUCUUCCAAUUGGGCUUUAGAUUCCCCAAUAAUCACUGCCUGGUUCUCUCCAAAAGGGUCUCUGGUAGGUAAUCCUUCUCUCUGUGUUUGAAUUUUGUUAGGUCUAGGAGGAGGAAAUUGAGCAUCUUGCCGUAAAUUCCAAGGAUCUUGAUUGCUAAAGAGUGAAUCUGAGGAAUCCAAGACAUCACCACCUCUAUUAGAUGGUGAAAAGGAAGAUCGGGUAUUAGCAUUCAAAGGAGCAGCUUCAGUGCCAUUUAGUACAAUCUUCUGCUGAGUCCAUGAAACGUCAUCCAAUUUAUGUGCCGAUUGAAGACCAGAAAAUGGAGGGUUCCCAUAUUGAACUUCAAGGGAAUCCAAGUUUUGAGCUCCAACUUUGGGUUGUGAAUGUGUCACUACAUUAUCCAAAAUAACUAUCUCACUGGAGUCUAUUGGUUUGUUAAAGAUAUUAUCCAAAGGCACCUCUCUCCCUGCUAUUUGUGGAGAUCUCUCAUCCAAGGCAUCUUUUCUGGUUUUGUAAACAGGUGAAUUACCCUGCUCAUUGCUUAUCCGAAGAGCAUCCAUCAUCCCAUUAAUUGGGAUCAGACGAUUAGGGUCUACAAUAUCCAUUUUGGAGACAGCAGGAAUAUUGCCAUGAUAUUCUCUGGAGGCUUCAGCCACUUGCUGUUCAGAAGCUUGAAUGCCAAUUGCCCCAGGAUGUGGAACAUCCUGUUUAAGCUGGUAUUGAGUCGGCAAAACAUACUGUGAUUGUAAUUCACCUGCCAUACCCAUUAAACCCUGACUUGCUGGAAUUCUAGGAUGAUCGGAAUUAUCAGUUCUACAUUCAUUUUGUGCAUCAAGACCUUGAGAGAAUCCAACUGCCUCUGAAUGAAGUCCUCCAACUUGAUGAUCAACGUGACCAAGCUGUCGAAACCCAGCUCCUUGUUCAGCAAUGCCAUCCCCUAAUGCUCCAGAUACCACAACCCUGUUUACUGGUGAAAUUUUCAUACCAUCUUCUGGACGCAGACUAUGAUAAGUUGAAUUCGUAUUAACCAGAAGUGUUCCACUGCUAUUUCUUGUAUCCUUUACCAAAGGAUCAGAAUGUGCAUGAGGCAAUGCCUUCUGACACAUACAGCAGUCUUCAAGCCUUGAGAUCUUCUCAGGAGUAGUUGCUUGGUGCUGAGGCAAGGAUCCAUCUGACAAGAGAACAUGCUCAGUUUGUGGAAUACAAUGCCAGGCAUAACCUCCUCCAACCAUUGCGGAUGGAAUCUGGGCUUGAUAAACAUUCUGGUUCCGUUCGACAGGAAGCUGAACUAUCUUUGUACCAAAAGCACUUUCACCAGGAUGACUCUCCAAUGGAAUUUGUUUGGGUUGCAACAGUGGCUGAACCACUGCUGGUCUAAUACCAGCAUGGGAAGCGGAGGGAGUCAUUGUCAUGUGCAAAGCAGGAAUGAACUGAUGAGCGGUAGCAUUGUCACAAAAAUGCUGUUGGCUGAAUACAGAAUCAGUAUUGCCCACCAACUGGGGACUUGAGUAACCCAUUUGAGGUGCAAGAUGCACAUAAUCAGAACGGUUCAUAACAUCAUGGCGAGGAUCAAUAUAUGCAGAUGCAUAGUGUAGCGGUGAAUCAUAUCUCACUUGCUGCGGUGCCGAAGUGAGGGGCAUCGACCUCUCUAACUCAACCUCAGGUUGAGAAGACAAUGUUUGUGGAGGAGCAGAUUUAACCACUGGAAUUCCUAAAUGAACAGCAGAAGCAUCUGGAUAAGCAGCAACAGGAUUAGGAUCCGGAGCCAUCAUUUUUGGACCAGUAUCAUGAGAAGUAGCUGAAUUCCCUCCGGGUGACAAGAUGUUUGACGGUGGAGGCCCCCCAACAUCAACCUGACCAGCACCAAUGCUAUCAACAGCCUCAGUCCCACUAACAUCAGAAUUCCGUGUUGAAGCAAGACUUGCCAUGCUCUCCUUCCGUGUGAAGCCACAAGAAGCUCCUUCCACAAUUCCAUUCACUGCCUCAACAUAUUUCUGCCCAUUGUCAUUUAAAUCCCCAAAUUGAACCAAACCAGAAGGAUCGAGCUCCGAAGCCGAAAACAAAAAUACCCUUAAUUUAGCUGAACCAUCUGAAGACCUUUCAACCACUUUGUCAUACUCAUCCAUCAUAUUAUCUAGAUCAUCCAAGGAAGAAAUGGACACCAAUGCAUCAAGAUCCUCAUCAGGAAGCUGGUACUUAAUAACCACAGGUUGCCCAUAAGCAUCCACCAUUUUUUGCACAAAUUCAUUAAAACUCACAUCUCUCCGAAGACUAAUAAUCCUUGUCUGCCCCCCAACAUAUCGCAACACCCCAUCACUAGGUCUAGGCAAUAUCUUUCCCCCAAAACUACACAAAAUCUUAACCUUUUUUCCUGACACCGAAUCACCCCCGCCCUCAUCACUCACCUGAUCAGCCCCACUGCCAUUGCUUCUAAGUCCUAAAUUUGGUUUAUAAGUAAACCCACCUGACAAUUCAUUAUUCAACUGAUCAAUCUCAUUACCACUACCCCUGUUUCCAAUAUUUGAACUCUGUCCAAAACCUGUUGACGCAAUAUCAUUACUCGCCUGAUCACUCCCAUUCCCACAAUUUCUAUUGCCCAAACUAGGACUAAAACCUUGCCCAGCUACCACAUCAUUACUGACCUGAUCCACAGCAUUACCAACUACCAUAUUGCUCAAAUUGGGAUUAUAACUAAACCCAACAACCGGGUUUAUACUUGGACGCCCCACUGGCACAGGCACAUGCAUAGGCAUGGGCAUGGGAGGCCUCCAUGCAGGGGCACCCGGUGCCAGGGGCACUGCAUUUGCAUACCCUAAACCUACAAAACCAGCAUUAGCCAUAGUUGCUGGAUAAAAGCCAGGCAUGGUACCAGGACUUCCAGGCUCCCGAGAUGGGUUGGGAAAGAACCCUUCAAUAUUUCUACCACUGACAUUACUAGUAGCUGCAAUGCGGGGCUCUUCAGUUACAGUUCUAGCUACAUUCAAUGGUCUUAGAUCUUUUGGAAUUGCGCUGUGAUCAAAUGCCAUAAUCUAGAACACAGGAUUCAGCUAAAUGGGAUAUAAGCUUAGAUUAGUGCAAAUCAAGUGCGGAAGAGAUAAACGUAGGGUUUUGGUUUCUGGGUUUUGUUUAUUUCCUUAAAAACAUACUAGAAUUCACAUAAAAUCUCUGAGAAACAGAAAUAAAACCUCUUUUACAUAAAAGGGUAUUUUCUAAAAGCAAAAAACAGAGCUAAAAAAGAAGAAGAAAAUAUUAAAAAAAUGAAGACUAAUAAGUACCAGAUUCAAGGGUGAGAGAGAGAGAGAGAGAGAGAGAGAGUUAUGGGAGUAGAAGAGACAGAGAAACUGGGUCGGCGGUGGUGCUGGGCCGCCUUUGAUUCAGGGCAUUUUCAGCGCUUUCGUUUAAUCGGUUAACUCUCCUUUUGUCUCUCAGCUUCCUAUCUACCUCUCUUUCUCUCAGGAAAUCCAGUCUUCUGGGUUUUAUUUUGUUUUGAAAAGAAAAUUCACCACGGCCCUUUGUUGUUGUUGUUUUUUUCCCUUUUCUGGGGGUUUUGAUUUUCUCGAGAAAACCAAGGGGAUUGAAACUGACUGGCAGUGACCUAUUCUUUCUUUCUUUUUUUCCAAGUUGCGAGGGGUAACGAAAGAGAGAAAACAGAGAUUAGGGGUGACGGCACGUGGAUUGUUUCAUGCAAAUUUUCGGUCAAAAUCGUAGGAUGAUUUUGAUUUAUGAGAAUAAAAGAUAGUGACAAGUUCAAUUUCUAUAUUCUAGAUUUUGGUGGUGGGCUCUGCCUUUUGAUCCAUUUUCCUCCCUCCGAUUUUUUUAAUUUAAACAUGGUUGAUGUUUUUUUUAUAUUAAAACAUAAUUACAUCAAGCAUCUAAAUAUAUUUCCAUCUAAAAUUUUAACAAUGAUACAUAAUUUAUAUUAAAAUCUCAAUUUUAUAGUUAAAUCACAAUUUUAUUUACUAAGUUUUCUUUAAGUUAUUAUUAACUAAAAUAUCUCAAUUCUCUAGAAGAAAAUGUCAAUUCUUAAAUAUAAAUGAGUCCCUCAAAUCUUUGAAAAUUCCACCCAACUCUCGUAUGCAACCUGGGCUAAAAUCUAUACAUAUUAUUACGUGGCAAAUUCAUACUAUUUAACUACUUUUCUUUUCAUUUUUUUGGAUUAAAAAUGUUGGAUGACUAUUUCUAUUUCACUAAUAAAAUAUAAUCAAAGCUAAGGAUUUAAUUCAAAUUUCUUCAUCCAAAUACUUUUUAAUUUCAAAAACUAAAUUUAAUCUUGUCUUCUAUGUCCAAGAAAAAGAGAAUAAUAUAUUUUAUUACUUACAAAAAGAAUUUUCAAUUUCUAAAUAUGUUUUUUUAUUCUUAAAACAUUUAACCAAAAAAACAUAAAUUAAAUGAUAGAAAGACCAAUGGACCACAGAGGUUCAAUGCGAAUAAAUAUAAAAUCGGCUUUAAUUAUAUAAACCUUAGCCAUCUUUUUGUAAUAUAUAAUUGAUUAUUGACAUUUACGUUAUAAGUAAGGAAAAAAACCUUUUAUAAUAAAAAUUGUUAAAUUUAAAUUUAAAUUUCUGAUAUGUUUUAAACUGUUGAGUUGUUUUGUGAAAUAAAUUUAAUCCUAUAUAUAUUUAUAUUUAAAUCAUAUAUAAUAUUAAUCCACUAGACAGACCAAACGAGAUGUUGGGGGAUGCAACAACAAUUCCAGCUUUUCAGUUGUUUAUUUUCAUUUGACUAAAGCCAUUAAUUAUGGAAUUGGCUGUGGUUAUUAUUUUAUAUGUACCUUGGGGAACAGUUUAUUUUUUUAUUUUUUGAGGAAAAUCGUGGACAGUUUGUUAGUUGAAGCUCUUUUCUGUAUUACUUCUUGGAGUUAUUUUAUAUAAUUAAUAAUAAAAAUUUUAAUUUUACAAAUAAAUUAGAGAAUAUCACAUAUUCUUUUCAUGUUUGGGAUCAUUUCUAUUAAUUAUUUCUUAAACUUUUUAACCAAUUUUAAUUAAUUAAUUAAUUAAUUAGCAAUAAAAUAACAAUUAUAAGUAAAAAAAUGUAAUGAAAAAGUACUGCAGCACAUGCAUUUUAUUAUUAUUUAAAGUUGGAGAUUGAAAAAUAAAAUCAUACCUAAAAGGUUGUUUUCCGCGGGGAAACCGCGUCUUUGUUAUUAUCAUAUAAAAUUAAAUUAAAAAUAAAGAUAAAAGACAAAGACACGAUAAAAAUAAUAAUAACUACUCCUAUAUGCAAAUCCACUUUGAAUAAGAUAAGGUUGCUCGACUUUAUUGAUGCAAAGUUUCCAAAGUACACUUAUCUUUUUGUCUUUCUUAGCAUACAAUUCAAAAUAUAAAUUAUAUUUAAUAUAUUUAAAAUAUAUAAAUAUUUCUCAUUAAUUAUUUGACCAUGAAAUCAUUAAAAAUACAAGCUGUUAUAUAUUUUUAAAUUUUUAAUUAUAUGAAAAAAUAAUUUAGUAAAACUCAAUGUACAGUUAAAAGUGACGUGGGAGUUGCAAUUUCAUGUUACACUUCAAUGUUGAUAAUUAAUAAUAGACUAAAGUUAUAAAAUAAAAUAAAAUAAAAAGUAUAUAAUAAACUAAAAAGUAAUGAAAGAAAACUCAACCAUGUGUAAGAGGAUGAUUAAAAAUUAAAAAAUAAAAAACAGAACAAACACGUAGAAUGACAAUACCUGAAUUACUUUUUCAUUACCGUGUUAAUCUCGUCGAUGAUAGACAAAGCAUCAAAUAUAGUAAAUCAUGAAUAAAUGGACCGAAAGUGAUAUUAGUUAGUAAAUCUAAUGGUAUUGAUUGAGACGCACAUAUAAUAUAUGGUCUUUUUUUAUGUAUUAGAUAUUAAAUGUAUGUAAAAGCUUGGUUUGGAAUGUCUUUCACUAGUUUUGGUGGGACAUAAAGUGCUUCCUAGAAAGUUCGCUAGAAUCAAUGAAAGAUUUGAAACUUCACACGUUUAUGCUAUCGUUUCGGUCUAUCACACUGACACCAUGAUAUACAUUGGUCUCAUGUUGGUUUGCCCUACAUUAUCCAAUUCUUACGUCACUUGAAGAACAAAGGAUUAUUUGAUUUGAAAUGAUGAAAUUUUGCUACCAGUCCUAAUAAGAAUAAUGUUGCUUUAAUGAUGGAAUUUUGCUACUAGUCCUAAAUAAGAAUUUUGUUUGUUAGUUUACUGUUAGUUAGUCAGCUAUAAUAUAACUUAGUUUUAACUAACUCCAUGCAAGUUAAGCUAUCUUGAGUGUUUUUUUAUCCAUAAAAAAACUUUGAUAUAAGAAGAAGUUACAAAUAAAAGGAGUGUUUUUUUGUACAACUCUAAUACAAAUGAAAAUUUUUUCAUUUACGUCAUUUAAAAUUUUAAAUUAAUAAAGUUAAAAUUAUACUUUGAUUUUUUAAAAAUAAUAAAAAAUUAAUUUAAUUUUUUAAAAAUUAUAAAGAUAAGGACUAUUAAAAUAACAAAAUUAUAUUUUUACUAUCGUAAAAAUUACAAUUUAAUCUUAGCCUGCCCUAAAUUUUUUUUCUAAUUUUGUCCUUGAUAGAAAGUGAAUACAUUUAUCAACAAGUCAUAAUUUGGGUUUCAAAAUAAUCAAAGUUUGUUACCAUAAAAGUACAAACAUUAAAAUUAACCAAAUUAAAAUAUAAUAACUAAAUAUGCAGCAAAUUUUGAAUAUGAAAUCUAUCCUCUACAACAUUGGCUUCAAAAUUAUAUUUACGGUGUAUUUUUUAUUUUUACAAUAAAACAAACAUACAUCUUGUUGGAUAGAAUGUUAAAAAAAUUCAAUCGAUUGAAUAUUAAUAUUUUUAACAAUUUAAUUUUUUAAGCACGUUUGAUAAUCAAUCAUGAAACUAUUAGAUAGAGUUUUUUUUCUAAUAAGCAUAGAAAAUGAUAAGUAAGAUUAUUUUAUUUUAUUUACGAUUAUAUUAUCAUUUUAUCAAACAAUUUAAUUAUAUUUAAUUUUAAAUAAAAUAUCAAACAUAUUUUAUAAUUUAAAUUUAACACUUAAUUUUUCAAUAAUUAUUUUUUUUAAUUUAUCACACAAAUUACAGAAAAAAUAUCAGAUUGCAUUGGUGAAUGGAAACCAGAACCUAAAUUGAAUUAACAAAUAUAAUGAAAUUAUUAUAUACAAAUAAAUUUAACAAAAAUAAAACACAAUAAAUUCAACACAAGAAAACACAAUAACCCAUCAAAGGCCUAAGCACGUUGCUUUUUUCCUUUUUACGUGUAAGCCAUGAUUUCUCUUAAAGUAGCAGCCGAAGGAGAUCGUGGCAACCUAGAUGUAAAAUUUCUGUUAGGAAACUCAUUAAUUUGACUAUCUUCACCUCCAUUAUCGAAAUUCAACGCAUAACUCGACGGAUUGUAUUGAAAAUCUAUUGAGCGUCGUCUUCUGUGAAUAAAAUUAUAAUUAGGAUUAUGGUUACGACGGUAAUUAGGAAAAUCAUGUCCAAUACGAGUAAUCAAAUUACGACAUUUGUGUUUAAAAGUUUUAGGACUUGAAAUAGGAGUUGAGUGAGGAGUAAUUGGCACACUCGAGAUAUGUUGAUUGUGGUCAUGGUGGUUGUGGUGACGGAGCCAUUGAAGAGAAGAUUUUAACUUUUGCUUUAAAGAUGGAUAAAUUGAUUCGUUUUCAUUGCUCAUUAUUUUAUCUUAUAUUUUUUCACUUUUCUUAUAAAUAAAAGAAAGAAAAACUUUUAUUUAUAUAUUUUUCAAAAAUGGUGGAAAUUGAAAUAGUGUAGGGAUAAGAUAAAAUUACCAAAAAUUGUACGAAUCCUACGUAAAUAAAGGAACAAUUAAGAGGUUAUUAUUUGGAGAGUUAAAAACUAAUGUUUUCUGUAAUUUUAGGGGAAAAUUCAGUGUAGAUUAAAGAUUUUACUGUUUUUGUGAUUUUGUAAUUUUAGGGGAAUAUUUCUUUAUUUAAAUAUAUUGUAUUUAGCUUGAAAUUCGAUUUCUAUAACUAAUAUGAUUUUUCAGUUAAAUAAUAAAUUUUUAUUUUUCCAUUUUAAGCACAAUCAUAAAAAUAAAAAAUAUAUAUAAAGAAUAGUUUAUUAUUUAAAUUAAUAGUGAACUUUAAAAACAAAGUAAUGAGAGAUUUAUUUAAAAAUAGAGAUGCUUUUAAGAGUAAUUAAUUAUAUUAUUGAUAUUACAUAACAAUUCUAAGUCUUUUUAAAAUAUUGUUGAUUAAUAUAUAAAAACUCGGAUAAAUAAAUGAUAAUAUAUAAUUAUCAUUAUUAUUAUUAUCACAAAUCUUCCGCUUUUUUUCCGUCAAGAAAAGCGAUUACGUCUACCGGCUGCUGAAAACAGGCUUAUCAAGCUGCAGUCUGACCAAUAAUUUAAAUAUAAAUAUCAUUAAUGAUCAUUUUUAAAGUCUGACUGAAUGGCUUUUCUGUUAUACAAAGAGAUUAUCGUAUUACUAAUCAUCUAAAUCAACCCAAAAUCUGUCGUGAUAAUGAAAUUGGUUACUAUAGAAAAGGGAUUAAAUUCAAGGAUAAGAUAUGUAUUUAAAUUUAAAUACAAUAGUAACAAUGAAUUACGAAAUAAAAAAUAAUUAAAUGUAUAUCUAAUCAAUAAUUAAAAUCUAUUAAAAUUAUUUAUAUUAGAUUAUAAAAUUAAAAAAUUAAAAAAUUUAUUUAUACUAAAAUAAUUAAUUAAAAAUAUAAAUAUAUAUAAAAAAAGCUUUCGAUCGAGUUCGAGUGAAUUCGCUCGAUCUUUUGAUGGCAAAUGUAUCUUAUUUUAUUUAAAUGUAAUAAAAAUAUUUUUUUUAGUUUAAAUAGUAGAUGUGGACAAUCGGAAUCGCAUAUUAAUUUAUAUAAUUUUAUUUUAUGGUUUGACAUUAAAUAAAUGUUGCAUGUGGAUGGCUUGGAACCAUUUUAAAUAACUGGAAACCGACAAAAUAUAUGGAAUAAAAGCUUAUUAGUUCAAACUAGAAAGCCAAACUUGAAAAUAAAAUUUGUUCAAACUCAAUUUAUUUACGGCCAUAUUCGAAAACUUGAUUUAAACUCUCAGAUAAGGAGUUAUGGCUCUUAUUUAUUUGAAUACUGUUAAAGCAUUCAAGCAACUGCUUCAGCAGCAGUGGAGACCUUCUGGAGGACAAAUAUAGGAUCUCCCACUUUAACCAGCUUUGCCUUCCCUUCAGUCAAACUUUCCUUGCAAACCAUGUUCUGCCCGAAAUAGAUCUGCAAUUCAUCAGAACGUACUCAAAACGGAUCGUUUGCGGGUGAGAGGGCAUUACAGCAAAAAAAAUGUUCCGAAUUUUCAUCUUAGUGGUCUUACCUCUCCUUGUUGUUUCUUGUCCGGUCGCAAGACCUUACCGGACCUGUAUUUCAUAAGAGUUUCAUUCGGCUCUGGACCAGCAAUUGCGGUGUCUUGAUUGAUUGUAGGCACCUGAAUAAUGCACCAUCAUCUUUUUAAACAUUAACAUGCUUAAGCAUAUGAUAUAUAGUUAUUAAUAUCGUAAGAUACUCUAUAUGUAUAGUUCAAUACGAUUCGAUUCACAAUCAAAAUCACUAGGUAUCUAUAUAGAGAACUGGUUUUUAGCAUUGAAUACCUUGAAAUCCAUUGCAAUUUACAAUAUUCUUAAGAUAACAGUACUUCUCGUAAUAUAAGCAGAAAAUGCAGAAAGGGUAGCUUUUAUACCUUACAGCGGGAGCAUAGUCUCACGCCUUGAAAUGAAAAUUGGCUUAUUUUAAUCUCAGUCCAUAGGUCUUCGGAGAACGGUUCACAGCCGUCAACAAGGAUGCUAUAAUGAGCACAAAAAAUUAUGUAAUAAAGUUGUAAAUAAUACAGAAAAAGAGUAAAGCAGAGGUGAUUAAACUUAAACAAAUGUUUUCCAUUGGAAAUAACAUGAGAGAAUAUUGAAAUUUAGAGGAUUAACUGGAUCCUGAUGAAAGGACAUGCUAAAUAAAAACCAAAAGACAUGGUAUGAGCCUGAGAAAGGGGCGAAAAAAGUACUUGGGUCUGAAACGGUUCAUGGGUACAGGCUCCUUCAGAAGCUUGUUCAGUUCGUCCAAAGAUCCCUGCAAGAAUUUGUACUUAUAAUAUCAAGUUUAAGCUUUGUUAAUUUAUAUUGAUGUCAUCAUCAUCAUCAUCAUCAUCAUCAGUUAUGAAAAAAAAAACCAUUGUUUCCAAAACUAACCUGAGAUACUAACAUGAAAGGGAACAUGUCAGAAAACAUUAUGGAAUACCCUUGAGCAUACACAGGAUUCACAGGCCUAGUUUCUGAUGCUGCAUUUAUUAAAUAAUGUUGUAACCAAAUUGUUAGCCAUAUAAAUUGGAGACUUAAAAACUAUCUUAAUAUGCAAAGCUAUCACAACAUGGCUGUAGAAUUUAUAUAGUUAAUUGAAAUCAAACCAACCUGCAUUAAAACGAACCAUCCUACUGGGUUUCCCGAGAUAAUUUGUAAACCAUUUUGAAGCCUCAUCACCCUCAUCUAAUGCAGAGCCGGACCACUCCCAAACUGAAACACCAUCAGACACUUUUGGUGGUUUGCAAAGAGAAAUCUUGAGUAAAUCCAUUCCGGGUGCUUUUAUUUCUGCGAAUGAAAGCAUAUAAUGGUCACGACUCAUGAAAAAUAAAAGGAAAUAGGAAAUCACAAUUUGAAUGCUUUAGACAAUUUGCCUGCAUAAAACAAAUAACUCAUACUAAGAUUUCUACUAUUAGAGAUUUGAUAGUUUGUCUCAUACAAAUAAUUUUGCCAUGUAAAAACACACUAUUCUGUUUAAUAUGAGCAUUAUAUAAUGCAAUAUCUGCAGUAACUAAGUUGUCUUAAAGAUUAAUGAGGUACAGAUAAUGAUGAGUUGGUUUACCCAAAUAGGAGGUCUUGGUAGGUUCCCAGCCCUCUGAAAAGGCCUCAGCUGGCAGGUUCACCUCAACUAGAGCAAGCUUUGGUUCAACCCUUUGAGUAUAUGCCCUGCCUCUCUGAUUCACAACAAGCCAUUGCCGAUCCCAUCGAAACCCUGUACAUGCAUCAACAGAGGAACAUAAGAAAUAAAUCAGCCAUGCUUGCAAGUUAGCCAUGGAGAAUAAAUUGAACAAAUUGACAGAUGGUUGAGGCAACUGGAUACGCCAAAUCAAGCUAACUACACUGUUUAAGAAAAUCAAGAAUAAUUCCCAAAAUUACAUAAAAAAAGUGAUCCAAUAUAACAAGCACUGUAGCUAUCACUUAAUCAUAGUUAUUGUUUCUAAUGUUAUUUGGGUUAAGCUAAUGAACCAGUGAUAAGACAGAAAACUAUGACUGGGAGUGAGGUUAAAAAUUUUGGGAAUAGCACCAAAAAAAAAGCAAUAAAAAAUAAAAAUGAAAACCAAAAUUUCCUUGUAAGUAUUAAAGCUGGAGUUGCAGAGAAAUACAUUAAGACAGUGUUAGCAAAUGAAGUGCAGGUGAAAACACCAUAAUAUAAGAACAACAAGGCUAAUAAUUGAUAAAUAUAAAGCGCAGAAAAAAACUCACAGCCGGGACCUUGAAGAGAUGGAAAAAAAAGGAGUACCAGUAGGAGUGAGGGGUGCAUGUGGAACAGAAAUUCCACGGCAUGAUUUUACGGGAUAGAUAAAGAUUGAUGAUAUCUUAGCAUCAGCAACAGCAGCAGCAGCAGAUGAUGCAUCAGUCUUCUCCAUGCCUCUUUCUUCUUUCGGACAAAGAGAUAAUCUUGAGUUUCCAAGCAAAGACAGGUAGUCUGUAUGUUUAAGAAGUCGUCUUCUUAAAAACCGCUGUCUUUGAACUCGAUUCCCUAUCAAACCACAUGAAUUUCAUUUCUUUUACAUGGAAACUUCCAAACUGAAUUUGGAUUUUUGCACAAUGGGAUCAGAACGGUGGACCGCCCUCUAUACAAAGUGGCCCUGCCUCCAGGCCCACACCCUUUUCUAACAUACGUUACUAUUUUCUUUUUCCUUUUUCGGUUACAAUUUCCAAGAGGGCAAUCCAAUUGUAACCCCCAUUUUAUUUUAAAAUAUGCUUUUACCUCUUUCAGAUUUAUUCAUUCUUUUUUAUUUUUAAAAUUUUAAUUUUAUUUUAAAAUUUAUUUAUUAAAUUUAUUGAUGUGAUAUUUUAAAAUAAAAUAAAUAUUUAGUGGUUAUAUAAUAAAAAAUAUGUUACGGGAUAGAAUAAUAGCAGGAAAAAAAAUUAGCUAAAAUUAAUUUAGUUACUGAAAAUAGGGAGUUUUAGAUAUUAGUUAAACGGUGAGUUUUAGUUGUUAAUUGGAUGGGGCGUUUUGGUGAGUAUUAGUUACUGUUUGUUAUGUUUUCUUUUGCUUGAAGUAUGCAAGUGCUGCAUGGGAAGGAAGUUGUCGAAUUACAGAAGAAAUUUGUUAUCUGUUUUCUCCUCUCUUUCUUCCUUUUCUCCCUUUUCUUUCUUCCAAAUUCUCUGCUCGAUUUCAGUUCUUCUCAAAGGUAUCAGAGCUUUCAUGAUCCCUUUUUGAUGGCCGGCGGUGGUGUUUCGACAAGGUUGCAAAAAGAGGUGAGCACGAUGCAGCAGGAAAUCUCCAAAAUCUAAGAGGAAUUCGCGCAUCUGGAGGCCAAGCUGGACUCCCAAUUACAGGAGUUCAAAACGGCGGUUCGAGGUGAUUUACAAUCGCUGUUGGUUCAGUAUUUCGGGCCACCACCAACUGGUUCAUCGGUAACUGCUGCAGCUGAUAAGGGUAAGGGGGUUUUGGGAGCUCCUCCUGGGUUUUUACCUAAAACCACCGAUUUACUGCCAGGACAGACGGAACCCUUUGUUCCGGAUGGAGGUAGUGUGCAUGUACGGGAUCCUUCCUAUGUGGCGGGAGUUUCUACUAGAACCAGUCGAUUAGAGUGUCCUAAGUUCGAUGGUAAUGAUUUUCGGGGAUGGUGGACCAAAUUGGAACAGUAUUUUGAAGCGGAAGGCAUACCUGAAGUGAGUAAGGUUCGCAUGGUGAUGUUGAACUUAGAAGGCAGAGCAUUGGAAUGGCAUCAUUUCUAUUCACAGAGGCAAGGUGGUUUGCAAAUGUUGUUAUGGCCGGCGUACAUUAAGAGCCUCCAAGAUCGUUUUGGAUGUGGGCCAUUCAGGGAUCCGAUGAGGGAGCUGGUCAACUUGAAACAGCAAUGCUCCAUUUCUAGUUUAAAAUCCAACAAUGUUGGUGUUGUUGCUAAUACCUUGCACUAUGGCGCCUUGAACACGAGCAUUGGUGCAACAGCGAUAGUUUCAAGUGGAAUUGGGUGUUUAGAUACAGGGCGAUUCAUGUACCAGAAGGGCGCAACAUUGGGUGCCUUGUUGGAAAAUGGCCAAUUUGAGAACUGGGCUGACUCUGGCCUUGCCGAUAAUAGCCAAUAGACUGACACUUCGACUGAUGUUGACACUGACCAUAAAAACCAGCUUCAUGGAGUUCAACAUGGAGCUGUAAUGGUGAAUAUGGUCCAAGUCAAAAAGUAGUGAUCAAAAGACUCUUCGCAGGCUUGCUCAGAAUCGAAAAGCUGCAAGGAAGAGUAGAUUGAGGACAAAAGCCUAUGUCCAGCAGCUUGAGAGUAGUCGACUCAGGCUUACAGAACUAUAGCAAGAGCUUCAAAGGGCACAGCAGCAGGGUAUUUUUAUAGCAUCUGGACUUUCUGGGGACCAUGGCCAUACAGUUGCGGGAAAUGCUGCUUUGGCAUUUGACAUGGAAUAUGAAGACAUACAUGCAGUCAAUAUGAGGGAAAUGAUAUUCAUAAUGAUAUAUGUCUCCUUUGACAUGAUUCUUGGUGCCUAUCUCAUUAGUAACAUGACAGCAUUAAUCGUAAAAGGAUCCAAGACAGAGAAGUUCAGAGAUAAAAUGGCAGAUGUUAUUAAGUAUAUGAACAGAAAUAAACUUGAAAGGGAUCUCCGUAAUCAGAUCAAAGGCCACUUGCGUUUACAGUACGAAAGCACAUACACUGAGGCUGCCGUUCUUCAGGAUAUUCCCAUCUCUAUUAGAGCUAAGAUUUCCCAAUCUAUAUAUCUGCCAUACAUUGAAAAUGCAUCUCUUUUCAAGGAAUGCUCUUCAGCGUUUAUUAAUCAGAUUAUUAUUAGACUCCAUGAAGAAUUUUUUCUCCCAGGAGAAGUAAUAAUGGAACAGGGAAAUGUUGUGGAUCAACUCUAUUUUGUUUGUCAUGGUGUGUUGGAGGGAAAAGAAUCCAAUCUCCGAGUUAGGCAACUGGAAUCAGACAUCUCAUUUCACAUCAGAAGACAAGAAGCUGAGCUAGCUUUGAGGGUGAAUGGUGCUGCAUAUAAUAGUGCUGCAUCAAAAGUUUGAUACGAGCGGGAGCUGAUCCUAACAAAACCGAUUGUGAUGGAAGAUCUCCCUUGUAUCUUGCUGCAUCGAAAGGAUAUGAAGAUAUUACAAGUUUCCUUAUUCGACACCCGGUAGAUAUCAAUCUUAAAGAUAAGUUCGGAAAUACACCCUUGCUAGAAUCAAUAAAAAAUGGACACGACUAAUUAAAGAAGGAGCUUCCUUAAACAUAGAUGAUGCUGGUAGUUAUCUGUGUACGGCAGUGGCAAAGGGGGACUCAAACUUUUUGAGAAGGCUUUUGUCUAAUGGGGUUGAUCCUAACUCUAGAGGUUACGACCAUCGAACCCCCCUUCAUGUAGCUGCCUCUGAGGGCUUAUAUAUCAUGGUAAAGCUUUGGUAGAGGCUGGGGCUAGUGUUUUUUUUUUCCAAAGACAGAUGGGGAAACACUCCACUUGAUGAAGCCUGAAUGUGUGGCAACAAGAAUUUGAUCAAGUUACUGGAAGAUGCAACAUGGGAGCCUUUAUCUGCUAUUCAGUCCAAAUUUCCUCAUCUUCAUCCUUGAGGUCAAGGAUGUGUUUGUGGGAGGGAGUAUUGUUACGGGAUAGAAUAAUAGCAGGAAAAAGAAUUUGCUAAAAUUGAUUUAGUUACUGAAAACGGAGGGUUUUGGGUAUUAGCUAAACGGUGAGUUUUAGUUGUUAAUUGGACAGUGCAUUUUGGUGAGUAUUAGUUACUGUUUGUUAUGUUUUCUUUUGCUUGAAAUAUGCAAGUGUUGCAUGGGAAGGAAGUUAUCGAAUUACAGAAGAAAUUUGUUAUCUGUUUUCUCCCCUCUUUCUUCCUUUUCUCCCUUUUCUUUCCUCCAAAUUCUCUGCUCGAUUUCAAUUCUUAUCAAAAUACUGAUAUAAACUUGAAUUUAACUAAAGAAUUUUAAUUGUAUUCACAAUUGUAAUUAGGUUUUAAAUCUAAGAAAUAGAAAAUUUAAAUUCCAAAUGUAAAUAUUUUAAUCUCACUAAAAUUAAGGUUAAUUAAUACUUCAAUACAAAUAAAAAAAGGUUAAUUUUGUCCUACCAAACUUUUUUUACUUUUCAAGAAAGCAACUUUUUAAGGAAAAAAAUCCCAUUACUUGUGGGAAAUAACUCAGUUACAUUCGAAAGAAAAUCAACUAAUUUUUGUUAAAUUUAUUGAAAAAUGAUAACAUUCCAUCGUAUCAAACAUCCUAUAAGAGUUCAAUAGUAAACUGUCUAAAAUCCUAUCGAGUUAAAAACUAAUCUAAAACAAUAUACGCUCUUGAUAGAUGUCCAAUGCCUCGAUAACCUUCUCGAUGAAUAGUUUCCGGUGCAAUCUGUACCUGAAUAUGUAAAAAGGUAAGAGAGACUUCAACUCGGACUGUAAUUAAGAAUUAAAACCUUAAUGCAUGAGAGGAAAAGGUAUGUUAUGUCAGAAUCACAUACUUGAUUGCUGUUUCAAGUGUCCUCCUUGCUUCUGGCAUAGAUUCUGUAGUUGUAAAAUGAAUCAAAAAUCAAAUAUAUCAGACCAUGGCUCAUGUUCUAGUUGAUAAGUAGCAGAUUUUUGAAAAUUUACAGUAAUAAACAAUAGAAGUUGUUCAUAGUGCCAGUUUAAAUGGUAAAAGUACUAUGGACGGUACUAGGAGUCAGAUUGCAUUUUGCCCCUCUACUCAACAAAUGGGCAAAAUAGUCCCUGUAUACUAGAUCAAAGAGUGAAUUGGUCAUUUCUGUUAAAAUUUUUAUUCAUUUAUACUAUUAAAAACUGACGUGACUGACAAAAUAACCGGACAGUGACCACAUGACGUGCCAUAUGUACCUCAUGCUAUUGUACAAGACUAGUUUAUAACCGUAAGAAUGAACAGAAUUUUUAAUAGAAGUAUCAAUUUGCUUUUUGAUUUAACCGACAAGGAUUAAUUUGUUUAUUUUUUAGUAGAGAGGGUAAAAUAUAAUCCAACUCCUAAUACUAGGGCCUCCAUUAUACUUUUACCUAGUUUAAACUGUACUUCAACCAUGAAAUUAUCUUAGCACUUUAUGUUUGAAGGAAUUAGGACUCUGCAAACUUUAAGACUACCGACCAACCAGUUCAAUUCUGUUGGUAACCUGAGCAUUCUAAUCUAAUUUUAGAUCGUGUAGGAAAGAAUGUUAAUUCUAUCCACUAAGAUAGAUAAAAUGUUCACCUAGUAAUUUUUGGUCUUGCGCGGAAGUUGUAGGAAACUGUGCAAGGAUCUGCUGACAUUCUUCUUGUAACUCCUUCACAGCUUUCCUUUCCAUGCUAGGGAUCAGCGGAACAUCGCCAUCUGACCAUGUGGGCAAUGUUCUUGCAGCAGCUAUGACUGCCCCGUCAACAAAAUUAUCUCCUUUAUCUGCUAACUGACCUGAAUGUUUUGUGAAUAUAAGGUGCUGAAUUUUGUAGAAAAUAUUAACAUUAUCAUUUGAGAAGUUCUGAAAAGUUAAAACUACUCAUACUGUUAUGAUAAUACUCUCCAGGGAGACCAGAUAUAUUGAAGACCGACAAGAAAGAGUCCAAGUGAACAUGUGCGUUGCCGGAGAAUGGUAUUGAAUCCCAAGGAUUCUGCAAUGUUCAGGCCUUGACUAAGUCAGGUUAAAAAAAAAGAAGAAGAAGAUUUAAAUAUUUAUAUUGAGGAUUAAGGCUUUGCUUGGUUGGAUGGAAAGAAAAUUGGAAAGAUGGAAAACUGAAGGGGUAGAAAACUAGAAGGAUAGAAAAUAUAAUUUUUCUUUCAUAAUCUCUUCAUUUUCUCUCCUCUUAUUUUUCCAAUUUGGAAGGAUUGGUUUUUAUGCGAUAGAAAAUGGUCAUCCCUCCCAUUUUCUUUUCUCUCACUUUUCUUUCAAACCAAGCACACUCAAAAUUUAUUUUCCUUCCACUUUUCCACUCCAUCCUCCAUCCCUCCACUUUUGCACCUAACCAAGCACACCCUAAAAGUUGAAGCUAAUUACCACAGAUGAUGAGAAUCCAUAUCGUUGCAUGAGCAUCUGAUUUUGCUGUCCAUUCAUGUAAUUGAUGGUCAUCUGUUAACAUUAUGGAAUUGUAGAUACAUAUCCCAUAAUGUAAAUAAAAAACACUUAGGAUCUAACAUGGUUGAUGGCUUUAAGAGGCAAACAGCAAAGACAACACAAAGCAGGCUAAACUUUAUCACAAACUAAAUGCUCCAAUAGCUACAAAGAGACCAAAAAGACUACAAAUAAACGAUGGUUGGACCGCCCCUUGAUGUUGAAAAUUCACUUGAACAACAUUAGAAUUUAAAGAGAAUAUGGAAUAACAAUACCUCCUCUCCUUUUCUAAUCCUCUGUCCAGCGUUUAUCAUCACCUCAACCAUGCGAUCCUUAAAACGCCAAUGGAGAAAACAGUUUGGCUGAAAUGAAUGAUUUAGCAUGUCUGCGCUGACAAAUGGAUACACAUCAAAAAGCAUAUUAAAAUAUUAGAUAAGUAAGAGAAAUAAUAACUUAAAGGAAAUAUGAUGGCAGUCAAUUUGUAGAUAAGGCAGGGAGGUAUUAGUGAUGCCAAAACAGGCCAAAGCUUUGGUCGAAAAAGACAAUAAAUGAAGGAGAAACAGUUGAAAGGAAUGGUCUAUAAGAAAAACAAAAAAUCUUGUCAAGCCCUGCAUUACUUUUAACUUUUUGACCAGCCAUCAUAGAGAAGAAGGCAUAGAAAUGAAAAAUAGAGGAGCCCCGUGCAGCAAGAUCACCAGACCAGCAUAGGGAAUUAGCAUAUUUGCAUCUUGAACUAGUGCACCGAUCCUAACUUGCAUGUUAAUGCAUCGUGACUGUGCAAUGCUAACAGCCCAAAUGAAUCUCUCAGGAUCACGAGCAAGGCGCUUUAUUUUCAGAGGAACACCGGAAUGCUGAGCGAGGUUAAGCACACAAACAAGUCAUAUUAGAGUGAGCAAGAACUUCUUUGAAGAAACGAGAGGUAAAAUGUUUAUUGUCAUAAUGAUAGAUGGGUUGCUUAUACCCAGUUCUUUUCCCAAAAUUCUAAGGCUCUUAAUUGUUGAUUUUUCAUAGUUGAAACAAGAUCAGGAUCCUGCAGCUGUGAGAGGUCGUCCUGCAAGGAUUGAGCAAGCUGUGAGUACAACAAGUUGCUUCCCACAUAGUUACUCUUAGAAUUAUGCUAAAAUCCCAAUCCUUUGCCAUUUAACAACCAUAACCAAUGCUUUAAUGAUAUCAUUAAGAUACAUCACUCCCACCAUUAAUUCAUCAAAGACAAAAACUGUAAUUUAGCAAAACAUAAAAGGGAACUCGAAAUAAAGUAAAAAGCAAGAAAAUACACACACCUCAGUAGCAAGAAGCAAGCUAGUGCACUCAUCAGCACUAGGUAAGAAGUCUCCAUAUAGUUGCCAAAAGUUAUCCUCCUUAUCAAAUGCAUACAAGAGAAGGCAUGCCAAUCUCAGAUCCCAAUCUGUCUGCCAAGAAAGACGCCAUGAAUUACAUUGAAGAACAGCGCAAUUAGUGUUAUAGUACAAAUCAAAUAGUGUGCUAGUGAAUUCACCAAAUUUGAACAAUAAAUGCAGAAAACUUGAAAUGAUAAUUUAAGUCUUUCAUAUAAAGGAAAAUUCGAAUUACCUCAGGAUUGGUUGAGUUUAUGAUAUCAAAUAUGGGAUGACCUAGUGGCACUAUAUCCGGGAAGAACAUCCAUGGCAACUUCUGCCUUAUUGUCAACAUCAAUUCCAAAGGUAUUUCCAUAAUUACCUGUUCAGUCAAGUAUUGAAAGCAUAGUUACCAACACAUACACACAGAUAUCAUAGCAAGAGAAUAUAUGGUAGAAAAGGGUUACAGUGAGAAUUUAGAAGCAAAUGACAAAAGUAAAACAGACUCUAGCACGACGAAGAGGUUCAACAUCUUUGGAGGCAUAGACUCCAAAACCAUCAGGACCUUCCUUAAACUCAAUUCCAUAAGCUCUCAUACUUCGAACAUAACCUAUCUUGUAGAAAUCAGGGUCCGCAGGCUCCAACUAUAAAGGAAAACAAAAGCAACUGAAUGAUUUUAAAAACCCAAAACGGAAAAAAAAAAGUAAUAGGAAGAGUGAAUUGAUAAGCCAUGAGCAUAUACCUGAGAAGGAGAUUCUUGAACUGGGGUAGGCUGAAAGAGUGGAAACGAAGGAGUUCCAACCGAAGCAUUAAUGGGUCUCAAACGAUACUUGGUCGCUGGUGCUGGUGACCACCCAUGACUAUGAAAAUGAGUACGACGAUAUUCUCUUUCUGGACAAGCAUAGGUGAAGCACCCACUGACAUGAUGAAGGGGAACAAAUGAGGCCGCCAUUGGACUUUGGAGACUACAGGAAAGUGAGUCUAUUGGAGUUCAAAAUGGAACCAUGAUUGCAUCACUGGCACUUUACUACUCCGGUACUGAUAAUUUCCUUUCGUUGUUAGGACAAGAAGAUCAAUUCUAACUCUUAAAAACUCGAAAAGAAAAAGCCAUUACAAAACGUUAUCCGCUCGCAACCAGAGACCAGGCUAGAGCAUAGUGCGAAGGGGUGGCACAAAUGGUAGCCCAGCCCAUCAUAGCCAGCCUCAGUCACGCAUGGCCCAUCCUAUCUGUUAACUUGCAUCUUCAAAAGGCCUGAUUUUCGUUUCUUACAAGCUUUGAUCCAUUUUUCUUUUAAACAGAAAAAAUGGGAUAUUUUCUAUCGAUUUUUAGAAAUCCAGAUAUUCAAGCUCAAUUUCAAUUUUUUUAACAAUAAUUUUGAUCAUAUCUAGUUUUUUUGACAUAAUGUCUAGAAUUGUACAUAGUCUCUCCCCAAUCCAUAAAUAAGAGAAUAAUACGCUUUAGCGCAUCCAAACCGACAUCCUCUUGCAUUAAUAACAAUGCACAUAUCAAUUGAACUAAAACUCAAUCGGCUCGAAUAUUUAAUUUGAAUAUUUUAAAGUUCAAUUAAUUUUAACAAAACAAGAAGAGGUUGAUAUAAUACUACUAGGCCACCAUUCAUUUGAAACUUUUUUUUGUUUUUUUUGCACACCAAAUUUGAUGCUUCACCAACAGACCACAUGCUUGUCAGGCAUUUGAAACUUAUUAUCAUAUAGUGUGAAAAUCAGGAAAAGGAGAAAUUAUUUAUAGGAUCUGAGUUGCUAUUAAUAUGGUAAUGGACCAUGAAUGGGUAGCAGUUAUGGUCCAAAAGAAUUUCUGUUGUAUUGAAUUGUUUUUGGGAUAAUUAAUUAAUCUUCUUAUUUUAUUUGAGUUACCUCUUUUCUAUUAUGUUUAUCUAUCCAUAUUAUUGCUAGAAUCUGUUCAUUAUGCUGGUGUCGUCAUGACCUAGUUGAAAAACAACCAAAAAUAUUCAAUUUUAACAUUCAAAUAAAAUAAAGGGUAUAACUGUUGUCUAAAAUAAAGUAUUAAAGUAUUUUUUUAUUAACAGUUAGUUCAUUUAUAAAAACUAACCGUAUUAUAUUUCUCAAUUUUUUAUUUCCAUUGUUAAUUGAGGGUGUAUGGGAAUUUAGGGGGUAUAAUGUGAUUGUAUUCUGUCUGAUCAUAUAAUGUUAUAAAAUUAUAAGAUUUUAAUUUAUUUCUGUCACUGAUCGUUACCUAGAACAGCACUUGAUGAAGAUAAUUAAUCAUCAAAGCAUUAUGUCGUGCAUAUAAUUGAUAAACAAUUGCCUUACGCUUCAGAGCCUUCUGCAGUUCAUCGAGAAAACUCCAUGGAUUUCAUUUUAGGUGAAAACCUAGCAGUAAGUCAAACGCGGCUCAGACUUGUAGUUGAGGAAAAUUUUCCUUCAUGGUUAAGAUUAAGUGAUCUAUAUACUUGGCGCACUUACAUGUAUAAAUUCACAAGUUCAUUAGUAAGGAGUUACUAGCUAUAAGGUGAAAAUUGAAAAGAAGAAAAAUGCAUCAUCCUCCACCACCUGCAGACGCCCAUCAUCCUCACCAAUCCCACCACCCGCAAUCGCCACCCCAUGCUUCGGCUCCAGGUCCACCACAUACUAAUCACCCUCAUUUAGAUCAUGCUCCUCCUCCAAGGCCAGGUCUUCAUGCGCCACCACUAGGACCAAGUCAUCCUCUGGGUUCAAUACAUGAGCAUCCUCAUCCAGGCUAUGCUCCUCCUCCAAGGCCAAGUCCUCAAGCGCCACCACCAGGACCUGGUCAUCCUCCAAGUCCACCACAUGCCGGGCAUCCUCCUCCAAGGCCAAGUCUCUAUGAGCCACCACCAAGACCAGGUCAUCCUCCAGGUCCACUACAUGAGCAUCCUCCAAGUCCACCACAUGUUGAGCAUCCUCCUCCAAGGCUAGAUCCCCAUGCGCCACCGUUAGGACCAGGUCAUCCUCCAAGCCCACCACAUAAUGAUCAUCUUCAUCCAGACCAUGCUCCCCCUCCAGGGCCAGGUCCCCAUGUGCCACCACCAAGACCUGGACAUCCUCCAGGUGCAUCACAUGCUGAGCAUUCUCAUCCAGGCCAUGCUCCUCCAGGACCAAGUCCCCAUACGCCACCACCAGAACCAGGUCAUCUUCCAAGUCAACCACAUAUUGGUCAUCCUCAUCCAGGCCAGAUCCCCAUGCACCACUACCAGGUCUAGGUCAUCCUCCUGAGCCACACAAGCCUCGUCCAUGACACCACACUGCAUAUCCAAUACAAUGUGAACCUUAGCUUGGUACUUGAGCGACUCUUUCACCAGUUUCGUGUUAUUUAUGUAAUAAAUUGAUAGAAACUAUUUCUACUAAAAUAAUUUAAUAAAAUAAAGUAGCAUGUUUGAUAUAUUUUCUAGGUUAUGGAGGAUAAGACUUAUAUAUAUUAAAGAGACACUACCUUUCGUUGUAGGCAUAUAAUGAACAUUUGAAGAAUAUAAUGAAAUCAAUUGAAAGAUAAAUGAUAAUAUAAUGCAUUAACAUUAAGAGAAUUAUCUAAAAAUAAAAAGUGAACAUUAACAUAAUAAAAUGAAAUAAAUUAAAAUAAGAAAACAUGAAUGUAGAUGAGACUUGUGUAUGGAAGGAAAUAAGAUAAAUUGCCAAAAUUAACUUAAGUGUAGUGAAAAAGAAAAUGUCAACAUAUUGUCACUGUUAGAAUCAAAACCACUAGUUUCAAUCUGAAGUUAGCAAUGGAUAGAUAUAAAUAAAAUCAACUUUUAUAUCAAUACUAUUUGUCGAAACCAUUUUUUUUACAAGGGGUCGAUUUUGAUUUUGAAAACAAAAACAAACAUGAGAGUCGCCACCAAUCCUUUUUGAUGAGGUGGGAUCGGGUCACCUCGAAAAAUGAUUAUUUUUUAAUGAACGGUUUGAUUUAUUAAAACAACGAUUUCGGUUUACAGAAUUCAGAAUAAACAGAUUCAAGAGUCGGUUACGUACGAGGAAGGAUUAGCACCCACGAAACGCCCAAAAUUGAUACCUAAUUGAUUAAUUAGUGUCUUAGUGUCGAAAAUUGAAAACUUUGAAGAGAUUUAAAAUAUGAUCCUUUGUUAAAUUUGCUUAAUUGAAUUUUUUUUUAGAAAAUGGCAGAUUUCACGUUAAUUGAAAAAAAGAAUUAUGUCCCGUAAGUUAGUACACAAUAUCUUAAAUCACCAAAAUGAGAAUAAACACCGAAAGUUUUAUUAUUUUAAAGGAUAUGCGAUAUCUUAAUUUUAAAAAAAAAGAAUCAUAUUUCGUAAGUUAGAACACGAUCUUUUAUUAAUUCCCGAGAUGAUUAAAAAAUUUAUGUUAAAAAAGGGUUCGUGUAUUCGGAUUUAUCGAGAAAAUCGAAACCCCGUAAGUUAGGAAAAAACUUUUUGAAUUCAGAAAUACGAAAUAUUGCUUAUUUAGAACAACAUUUUUAAUGUAUCAAGUAAAAUGUAACACGAUUUUGUAGUAAAAUGUGAAAUAAAUUACGGUGCUAAUAUACAUAACAGAAUAACAAAAAAUACAUUAAUGUGAACAACAAUAUAAAGAACGAAAAUAAAAUAAAAUAAACAAACCAAAAAUAAAAAGACAAAUAAUAAGGAUAACGAACUAAAAUUUAAAACUAAAGACUUAAUAUUAUAUAAAUAAAUAACAUAGUUUAGUGUCUGCCGUUUUUGGCACGUUUCUUUGUCUGCCAUUUUUUGGCACGUUUCUUUAUUGUUCUGAUUCAAGGUUUCUAGUUGGUUCUUGGGGCAGUUUUUUGGGGUGUUUUACUGGGGGAUUCUCGCUCAAUUUUGUUUUGUUUUGAUUGGUAGAGUGGGGUGGUUUAAUGGAGGAUGCGUUGGAUAACUUGAGGCUACUGGAUGAUGAGGAGGAAGCGUUCCAAGGGGAUGAAGAAGCGGCGGGUGGAGUUCAUCAACUCUGUUUGGUGGGUCGAUGCCUUACGGAUAGUGUUGUUCACUUUCCCUCAUUACAUAAUACGAUGGCGGAUCUCUGGCAUCCUAUAGGGGGCUUUGUAUAACGGAGUUAGGGGAGAAACGAUAUCUCUUUCAAUUUUUUCAUGAGGUUGAUCUUGAAAGGGUUCAUACCGGUAUACCGUGGUUUUUUAAUAACCAUUUACUCAUAUUACAAAAAGUUCCAGUUGGGGUAAAUCCAGCAGCGAUGAAGUUGAAUCAUUCGGAGUUUUGGAUACAGGUUCACGAGUUGCCUCCGGGGCUGAUGAGUGUGGCAAUGGCAAAACAAUUUGGGGAUUUUUGCGGUAAGUUUGUUGAGUAUGAUUCGUCCAUUCCGUCUAUGGGGGUCGAAAUUAUUUGCGUAUUCGUGUUAGCUUAAAUGUUGCUGUGCCGUUGAAGCGUAAAAAGAAAGUUCUGGUAGGGAAGUCUAUGGUUGUUUAUACUCGAUUCAAGUAUGAAAAGCUAAGUUUGUUUUGCUUUAUUUGUGGUAAGUUAGGGCACGGGGAGAGCUACUGCCCUUGCCGACUAACUAUUGAUUCAUCUAAAAUAGUUUUUGGAUGGGAUUUUUCAUUACGUGCGGAGGCUAGGCGUAGGAGUAUGGUGAUGAGUAGGUGGCUGCGGACAGUAGAUGGGUCACCAUGCCAUGAUGAAAAUUUGGCAGGUGUCAAAGAUGGUAAUUUGGCUAAUAUGGGGAAAGAUUUGGGCCUUCAUUCUAGGGGUUUUGGUAGGAAUUUGAAUUCUAAAAUUAAUCCUAAUUUAAUUCCUUUGGGAUCUGUUCAAAUUCAAGGUGUUGGUACAUUGGCUAAGGGGCGUGAUGGGAAAUUUGAUGGUAUGAGCUCUGAUGGGGUCGAUUAUGGGCCUAUGGAGUUGGCGUUGGUUGAGGAAAAUGACCCACUUACGGUUAUGGAGGGUAAAAAAUGGCAGAGAGUCGUGGAGAGUUCACAUGUUUGUAUGGACACUAAUGAGGGAUCAGGUUUAAUGAAUGUUUCGGCUAGCUCUGAUGGCCAGAGCAGCCGGGCCCGAUAAAAGUGCUAAGCUGGAAUGUUCGUGGUUUGGGGAGAUCACGAACAGUUAAAAGGCUCAAGAAUAAGUUAAGAGCUAUUAAUCCCCGCAUUUUGUUUCUUAUGGAGACAAAAUUGAGUUCGAAAAAAAUAGAAUUAGUCAGGCUAAAGUGCGGUUUUGAGAAUGGAAUUGAUGUUGGUGCCAUAGGUGCAAGAGGGGGGUUGUCGUUGGGUUGGAAAGGAAAUGCAUUGGUUCAACUUAAAAGUUUUUCUUCUUAUCACAUUGAUGUUGAAGUCCAUGAUAAUGAGUGUGGGGAUACCUGGAGGUUAACGGGGUUUUAUGGAAAUCCGGAUGAAAGGUGUAGGGCAGUCUCGUGGGAUUUGCUGCGCCAGCUGAAUCAUGGUCAGGUCAUUCCUUGGGUGGUUUUGGGAGAUUUCAAUGAGAUUACGAGCUCUUUUGAGAAGAAGGGUGGCCGGCUCCGAUCUGAUAGUCAAAUGAGGGAUUUUCGCAGGGCUCUCGAAGACUGUAACCUUAAUGAUUUAGGUUUUGUUGGUCGUUGGUUUACAUGGGAACGAGACCGGUUUGCUUCAACAAUUAUAAGAGAACGUCUGGAUCGUGGGGUAUCAUCUUUGAGUUGGGUAAAUCUAUUUCCUGGGUAUCGCCUUGAACAUUUGAGUCAUUCGUUUUCUGAUCACUGCCCCCUACUUUUGGAUACGUUGGGAAUGGCAUGGAAUAAUCAAAAUGGCUCUGCAAUGGCGUUUCAUUUAAGAAUAAUAAUAUUAAUAAUAAUGACGAUGAUAUUAAUAAAAAUAAUAAAAAUAAUCUAAAAUUUUAAAAUUAUAUAAGAGGAUAUAAAUAAAUAGAUGAUAAAAUAAAAUAAAUGUUUAUAAAAAAAUUUAGGUACAUAAAUAUAAGAGAAAUAUAAUAAUAAUAGUAAUAAUAAUGCAAAAUUAAUUAAUUUAAUAAUAUAAUAAUAACAAGUAAAUAAAUAAAUAAUAUAAAAUAAUAAUAGUAAUAAUAAUAUUAAAUUAAUUGAUUUAAUAAUAAAAUAGCAAAAAUAACAAAAACAAAUGGGCCAAAUUGAACUUUAAAACAGAAGUUUGGGGCAAAUCAGAAAUAAAUAAGACGGAAAAGGACCAAUUUGAACGCGCGAAUAACAAGAAGGGACCAAAGGAGAAAUAAUCCCCACCCUCCAAAACGCACAGCUUCGAGGUGGACCAAAUUGAAAGCAGAAACAAAUUAUAGGGCAAAAUUAAAAAAUAGAAGAAACUUGAUUGCAAACAAUUAAAAAGCGGAAGGGUUAAAAGCGCAGUUAGCCCUUUUAUUCAAAAAAGCGGAUCCUAGUAGCAGGUCGGGUUGGCGCGCGGGUCAGACACAAAACGAUGACGUUUUGGUGCCUGAGAGGCCUGCCCAAAACGGCGUCGUUUUAGAAACCUAUUUAAGUCAGUUGACAAAAAUCAUUUCGCCCUUUGUUCAGAAAAAAAAAACCUUAAAACUCUAUCCCCCUCUCUGGUUUUCUCUGGGCACUGCCCAGUAUCCGGCGAAUGGAGCCGCCGUGGCGCCAUCGUGUAAGGUGGUCGGAGGCCCCCAGGUUAGUUUCCGUCCUUUUUUUCUCUCUUUUUUAUAUUAUAUAUAUGUAUAGUUUUUUAAAUAAAAGGAAAAUAAUUUUUUUUGAAUAGGAGCAGUUUCGAAACUGGAAAAAUAAAGAAAAAAAUGACCUUCUCACGCUUCCCUUUGGUUUUUUUUUCUUCGAUCUGCUUUGCUGCUUGUUGUUCUUAUGCUUGAAUUUGUUUUUGUAUUUUACAAAAAAAAAAAAAAAACCCCCGAAGAAAAAGAUUACAAUCGGUUCAAAAUGGCUUUAUAGCCGAUUUUUACACAUUUUUUAGUCUAUUUUGCAUGCUGUCACUUCUUGCUUUUAAUCUUUGUAGGUGCAAAUGCGCGGUGCAAGUGGAGGGCGGUGCUGCAGUGGCGGUGGCAGGGCUGACAGGGGCUAGGUGCGGCGGCAGCAGGCUUGGGUUUCAGUUUUUUGCUGACACUGAGUUUAGUUUUGGGCCAAUCGGGCCGCCUAUGGUUUUAGAGUUUUGGUUUGGGCCGUUUGGGCAUGUUGUAAAUGGACUGGACUUUACUAAUUGUUUUAUUUUAUUUUAUUUUUGGGUUGUUUGUUUAGGGCCCGGGCAAUUUGGGCUGAUAACACGAUUUUUCUAUCAAUUCAUUAAAAUUUUAAAUUUUGCACUAUCAUCAUUAAUUUAUUAUUUUGAAAUUUCAAAAAUAGUUUGUAAUCGUUGUAAAGAGGAUCAAACAACAAAAGAAACCUUAAAUUCCAAGAAACACUAUAACAGUUGAGGAGAACAGAAGUUCAAAGCGAAAGGAAAAAGCAUCAUACCUCUGAAUUAAUUUAUGAAGUCAACAUAUUAGCUUAGAAUAAUGAACAAUUAAACACAUUACAAACGAAAACCAUAAAAAUACAAAAAUAAUUAGCAACCGGCAGCCCAGCCCAUUAUAGCCAGCCUCUGUCACACUUAGCCCAUCCUAUCUGUUAACUUUUACAUCGAAAUGGCCCGACUUGUGUUUCAUCCAAACUUCUAUCAAUUGAGAAAAUUUUGGGAUAAUUUCUAUAGAAAUUCUUACAAAAUUUCAGCCAAUGUUUGUUAGUAUUAGUAAAAAUAAUAAACUCUUCUAAACUCUUAGAUGUUGAUGGCCUAAUUCGAGUAAAUUUUAACUUGUACGGUUAUAGCUGUCCAAAAAAAUUAUUUUAAAGUUUAAUUAAUUGAAAUGAAAAUAAAAACAAGAUUCACAGGAUGCUACUAGGCAACUAUUUAAAGUAGUAAAAUUCAUUUGAAGUCGAUUGAGUCUUAACUUGAUUGGUAUUGGUGUUAGUGCAGGAAAAUGUAGGUUUAAGUGUGCUAAAACUCAUUAUCCUUCUAUUUAAGGGUUAAAGAUGGACUAUAGAUAAUUUUAGACAUUAUAUAAAAAAAGUAAAUAUAUUAAAAACUUAUAAUAAAUCUAAUAUUAAAAAAAAAACCUCAUUUGAAACAGUUUAGUCGCUAAUGUUAUUCUACUGGGCUAAGAAUAUGAAUGAGUUAUAUAAUUAGUAAACUUACUAUACUUUUUUAAAUUUUAAAAAUUCACUCUUAAUUACAAUAAUUAUUGUUAAAUUCAUUAAUUACAAUGUCGUAUAUUUCUAUAACUAUUAUAUUUUAAUGACUAUUGUUCGUCAAGAUUGAAAUUUCAAAUAUUAAAAAAAAAUAUAAGAGCUAAAAAUAAUUAAAUUAGAGUCGAUUGAGUCUUAAUUUGUUGGCAUUGACCUUGUUACCAAUAUAUAGAUUUGAGUUUGAGCGCGUUGAAGCGUGUUUAUUCCCUUAUUUAAAGGUUGAGAAAAGGGUUAUGUAUAGUUAUAAACAUCUUCUAAAAAAUAAUUUAGAAUUUUUUUUACAAUGACACAUAUGAACAAAUAAAACUAAAAUUAAUAAUUAAAUUAUAGGGAGAUUAAAACAUUUUCCUGUCACCCUUUUUUUUUUAUAGCAGCAGUUGAUGAAGAUAAUGUUAUACUGAAAGGUGUCAUCAAAGCAUUGCAUCGUACAUACAACCAAAAAAACAAAUGACUUUCUGCUGUUUACAUUUUUGACCAUCCAGGGAACUCCAUGAAUGUUUUUUUGGUGAAAACCUACCACCACCGGCAAAUCAAACUUGGCUUUGACUUGUAGUUAAAAAGCGAAGUCCUUCAUGGUUAAAGGGGUGGGGGGGGGGGGGGGCACUUACAAGUAUAAAUUCACAACUUCCCUUGUAACACAAUCUAGCUAGCUACAAGGGAAAUUUGAAAAGAAGAGAAAAAAUGCAUAAUCCACCACCACCAGACCCCCACCAUCCUCAUCAUCCCCACCACCCACAUCCGCAACCCCAUGCUCCGCCUCCAGGUCCGCCACAUGCUGAUCAUCCUCCUCCAGGCCAUGCUCCUCCUCCUGGACCAGGCCCCCAUGCGCCACCGCCAGGACCAGGUGGUCCAGGUCAUCAUCCCGAGCCACACAAGCCUCGUCCAUGAUCCUUAUACCGUGUAUCCAAUAUUAUGUAAGCUUAGGCUGGGUACCGUACUUAUAAAACUCUAUCACCUACUUGGUGUUAGGCUUUAUGUAAUAAAUUAAGAAAACCUAUUUCUACUAUAAUAAUGAUAAAGUAGCACGUUUGAUGUAAUUUCUACGUUAUGGAGGCCAUGGCUUAGAUGGGCACUGGGCACUUUUAUUUUUGCUUAAUUUGUCAUGAGCAUGAGGAUUAGUUUGUCUUAAAUUGCUCUUUUUCUUUUACUGGUAUGGCUGAUUAUCAAUUUUAUUUCUUUUGUGUUUAAACAAAAUACCACCUGGACAUCAAAUAAUUGUGAUUAAAGGUGAAGAUAUGACCAACGAGCCCAUUUGGGUUUACGUUCGUAAUUGGGCUUGGCUUAUUUAUUACUAAUAGAUCGGCUCUUGUAUCCACUAAUACAAGUUGGGAUUCGGCUUAAUCUUUUAAGUAAUUAAAAAAUUUUCCUUCUUUUUCUAACAUAUAUACAUAUAAAUAUUUAAAAAAAAUCGUAUGAAUUUUUUAGAAUUUACAUGCUAAUUGAAAAUAUGAUAAAGUAUAGUAAAAAAAUAAUUUAAAAAUAGAUCACUAUACUUAUAAAAUAAGAAAAUGUUGAAAACUGUGCAUCAAACAGUUAAACAAAUAUUGUAAGAAGAUAAUAGUUAAUGUGCAUCUCAAUUUUAUAUAUUUAUUUAAUGCAUCAAAAGAAUAUUAAAAUAUAAAGGUAUGGAACAACAAAUGCUGUCUAUGAAAGUGCAAGUUUUUUUGGUUCUUUUUCCUUCUAUCUUUUUUCUGUAUGUUCGGUUUUGUUUUUAGGCCAAGUGCCAAAUAAGUGAAUGUUAAACUUACAAAGAAAUAACCAAAGAAACACGGUGCGCCUAAUUGUAUUCUAUUUUUGAAUGUUCAUAUUGCCGUCUAAUAAUACGGGUUUUUUUAUUCUUGAAAACAAAUAAAAUGUAUAUUUUCUAUGAAUCAAUGGAAUUGGACCGUCAUCACUCUGAUAACAAAACACACCAUAUACAAUUUUAUUUAAAAAAUUCACCAAUUAAAAUGUUUUAUUAUUUUAAGAUUCUUUUGUAAUUUUAAAAUUACAACUUUAAAUAAAAAUUAUUUUUAAUGAUUUACUAACAUUGUCUCGUGUAUAAAAAUUACUAACUCGUUAUCUUUUAACGUUCAAGUUGGUAGACAAAAUGUUUUAAGGAAAUCAAAUUUUUCAAUAAAAGAGUUUAAAUUAUUAAGAAAACACUUUUUUUGACCAUUAAAGUUGUACUAAUUCAUGCUUAAUUAUCCAUCAGUAAAAUAGGGCAGUUGGUAAUUUUUUUUAUUGACACAGAAUUCAAUUCUUGCUAGAUAUAAUUCAUAACUUGACUUUAAAUAUAACAAUGAUUCUUAAUUAAAAUUUUAAAAAAAUGAUAUAAAAAUCAAUAUUACUAACACGCAAGAAAUGCCUUAUGGACAACUUGCCACAAGUACAGGCCAACAAAACAGAUUCCUUGUCAUUUUCAACCUUACGUAAUUUAUUUAUGGUCAAUAUUUUUAACUAAUUAAUUUGGAAAUAGCUUUUACUUUCUUUCUUUUUCUUUUAUUCUUUUUAACUUUUUCCUUCAGAUUGCUUCAAAUAAAAGGAAGAGAAAAGCAUAUUAAAUCUUGCAAAAGAAAGAAAGAGGUUUCAUAGAAUUAAGCUACUCUUUAGAGUCACAUAUGUUUUGAGGCUCAAAUUGUUGCACCCAAUCAAAUUAAACAUAGUAUUAGUAUCUGAUUUUAUGUAAUCAUAGCUAAAGAUUGUUGAAAAAAAUAAAUAUCAUAGCUUAAGAUUAGAGGUGUACAUGAGUUGGGCCAGGUUCAACUAAAAAUUUAGGUCCGUUUGUUAGGCUUGGGCCUGACCCAGCCCGUCUAUAUUAAUUUUUAUAUCAUUUUAAAAUAUAUAUAAUACAUCAAAAAUACUAAAAACAUCAAAAUAAAUAUUUCCUAACAAAUUAAAAAUAAAUUUUAAAAAAUAUGUAUACUGAUAGAUGCAACUUAACAAGCAAAUGCCUCUAAAAUAAUAACAAAAUUAACAAUAAAAUAAGUUUUAUACAAUAUUCAAAUAAUAAUAACAAAAUAGCAGCAACAUAAUAGUAAAAUGGUCGCAAAAUAGAGAGAAAACAACAAGAAAUUAAUAUUGAAAAAAAAGGAUUUUUUUUGUCCUUUAGUGAAUUCGGGCCGGGCCUGGCCGUAGCCAAAAAUGCCUUACCUAAGGCCCGACCCAUUUUUUAAACGGGCUUUAUAUUUUUGUCCAAGUCUAUUUUUCGAGCCUAUAUUUUAACCCAAACCCUCUCACUUUUUGAGUGGGCCUUCGUGCAGGGCCGGGUGGCCCGACCCAUGAGCAGGCCUACUUAAGAUUAAUGCAUGUUAUUAAUUCACUUAAUUAAUACAUUAUUUUUCAAUAAUUGUUUUAAAUACAUUUGAAUUAUGGGAAGAGGCUUUAAAGAUAUUGUAUCAUAUAAUUUAAUUUAAUUAAAAAAUAAUAGUAAGAGUCAAAUUGAUAAAAAAAUAUAAAUGUUGAGUGAUAAAUUUAAUAUAGCAUUAGUAACAUUUAAAAGUCUAAUGAGCAUUAAUUUAAUUGACAUAAUUACAAUUGCAACAAUUAAGUAAUGUGUAAUUGACAAAAAUAUUAUUAUUAAAGGUCGCUUUGACAUUAUAUCAUGUAUUAAGAAAAACUUUAAAAUUAAGUGAACCUUAAUUUAGUUGUAAGUAAAAUCUAUUUUUUAAAUCAAACCUGACGCGGAUAAAUGAGAAAAGAGAUGGACCCUAACACAUAAUUUUGUCAUGAGCUCCUACUAAAAUAUUGUCAUUCAAAAUCUCCAAUCGAAGAUCCGAACGGUGAUCAAAUUACCGAUACAGUUGAAGGCGAUGCGGGUGAUGAACGGCAGCAUAGAAAGAACAAAGAAGAUGAAAGGCGGUGGAUAAGAUUGAUACCGUAGCGAGAAAGAAAAGUGGAGGAAGCAAUAUUGUGGGGUCAGCUUUUGGUUAAUUUAAUUUCCAUUGUUGGUAAUAAGAUUCUUGAGAUUUAAGAAUACAGAAAAGCCAAGUAUGAUGGGCUAAGAAAAGAACCUACCUUUUGGUUAGUGACCAUUCCUACAAAGACAACUAUCUCCAUAGUCCAUACCAAACAUUGAACCUUUUAACAUAAAAUAUACUCAAACCAGAUUUUUUUCUUUUAAUCUCCCAAGAUAUUCUCUUUUUCUUUAUUUAGUUUUUGUAUCACUCCCUUUAUGGGAAAAAAAAGCCAAUUAAAGAGAAAAUCCAACGUCAUUUUCUUUGCAUCAUCGUCAUCUUUUCCCUAUCUUAUUCCCUGUCUUGUAAUUAAACACUUGGGAUCAUCGUUGCCUAAAAAAACUUCAUUUUCAAUUUUAUUUUUGUCAUAAUUCUACCACCACUAAAAUUAAACAAAUCCCUUGAUUUAACAUGUUCACUUUGUUUAUGAUCAUCAUUAAUUUUGCAUUAAAAAACAAUCUCACGUUUAUAUCUUUUUCCUGGAACUUCUUCUUCUUCCACUUUCCUAGCAAACACGCAUGAAUUUCAUAGUAAGAAAAGAAAAUAAAUUAACAUUUAACAUCAUAUUAUAUUUAAGUUCAAGAUGGACUUGCAGAAUAUAUAUUAUAUUUAAGUGGAGAAAAUAGGGUGAGACAGGUCAAUAUUAGAGGGAGGACAUUUCCUGUGCCGUUGAUGGUGAUGGCAACAUUUGAAAAGGAGAAAAGGGUUUAUGGGAAAACGAAAGCGUUAAGAAAAAACACAACCAUUUGCAACGGAACUGAUUUUCAGCCACGCUUUCAUAAGAAAAAUCUGGAAUUCUUAUUUCAGUCACAUUAUAAUUAUUAUAUUAUAAUAAUAAUUACGAAGAAGGUGUUUUUAUUUUUAUUUUUUAAAAGAAAGAAAGUGGCAACCAAUCCAAUUAUAUACUCUCAACGAAUCUUCUCAGUUCUCCCCACUCCAUAAUUUUCUUUUGAUUCUCACUUCCUUUUCUCUAUUUGUGUCUAGUUUUCCUCCUGUUACUUUGGAUACGCUUACCAUUUCUUUUCCUUUCCUUUAUUAUCAUCAAUAGUACCAUGUGUGUUGAAGAUAUAGAACAGGUCAGCCAAGAAAUGGAGGACCUUGGUGAUGGCAGUACCAACAAAAAGCCUUGGCCUUUACUUUCUAGGGGUGAUUUCUUGAGUACCCAGAUGGAGAAUUGGGUUCACAAAGACUCUCCCUUUCCCCUGGCCGUGGUAGCUGGCAGCAAUAGAGUAAGUACCCAAACUUCAUUUCCUGCAUCAUUUUUGCUUUUGAUAAGACAGUUUCUUAUGAUUAUGUUUUGGGUAUUUCUUGUUUUUGUUAAUCCUUUGCUUCAAGUUGAGAAAUUUGUCCCAGUAAAUGUGCUUUUGGCAGCAUUAAGCUUUAUGGAAAAUAGCCAAUUUUUUGUACCUUCUUCCCUGUAUAUGUGCACUUUUCAUGUUUUGAUGGAUUACAAAAGUUGCAUCAGCUACUUAUAUUCAGUUUGGUCAGGUUGAUGAUCAAUCAUGUUUGUAUAUUUUCACUUACAUUCAGCUUCUGACUGUGUUGGAAGUGGAUUCUGAUUAUAUUAGGAGAGACAGGAACUGACAUCGUUCUAAACAUUGAAUAUAACACAAUAGUGGGGUUGUGAUCAAUAGUAUAUAAACUUUGAUAUUCAGGGUCUAACUGUCAAUAUAGUUGAAGAAUUUUCACAAGUUAGCUUUAUAUUUUGUAGGGUUUUGCUAUUAGCACUCAGAUAGUGUUGUCUUUUUUCUAUAGAUUGGUAUUCAUGAUAUUACAUUGCUAUUCUUUGUUUAAGGCUAUAUUCUUCUUUUAUUCAGUUGUAUCUGGAUAGGAGUAGGUUCGGUUAUUACCAUUGACAACGCUUCUGCUGUUUCUUUUAUGGUAUUUCACUAAUUGUCUUGUUUCUCAUUUGUGUUUCAUUCAGCUGGAAAGUAUUUCUGAGGAAACAGUUGCCACAGACAAAAAACAUGACCUGUUGACAAAUU
This 34601-nucleotide long non-coding RNA is filed under the name Gossypium raimondii (Peruvian cotton). RNAcentral describes it as "long non-coding RNA (GRAI_LNC006843)". The stretch from base 16992 to 17136 matches the Rfam family "MIR7502 microRNA precursor family". The record is from RNAcentral. Lineage: Eukaryota; Viridiplantae; Streptophyta; Magnoliopsida; Malvales; Malvaceae.